This 68-nucleotide transfer RNA is filed under the name Plesionika ortmanni. RNAcentral's name for it is "tRNA-Tyr". It matches the Rfam family "tRNA". From Rfam's summary of the family: Transfer RNA (tRNA) molecules are approximately 80 nucleotides in length. Their secondary structure includes four short double-helical elements and three loops (D, anti-codon, and T loops). The record is from RNAcentral. Lineage: Eukaryota; Metazoa; Arthropoda; Malacostraca; Decapoda; Pandalidae.
GAUGGGAUGGCCGAGCUUAAAAGGUAAUAGAUUGUAAAUCUAUGAACGAAAAUUUAUUUCUCUCAUUA